RNAcentral lists this long non-coding RNA (3162 nucleotides) under Brassica rapa (field mustard). RNAcentral's name for it is "long non-coding RNA (BRAP_LNC005085)". The record is from RNAcentral. Lineage: Eukaryota; Viridiplantae; Streptophyta; Magnoliopsida; Brassicales; Brassicaceae.
GAUAUUUUAAAUUUAAGCUACUUUCUUAAUCAAAAUUCCGGUUGGUGUGAAAGUUUAGUUUGAAUUUAAGCUACUUUCUUAUUCAAGAGUUGGCAAGAUUAUAUAUAAUAAACAUGAACCUGCGACCUUGAACCUGUCGGUUUUUCAGUUUUACAAGAUGUCGGUUUGUGUUCGCUUUGCCUUCUCCUUCCUUGUACCUGUCGGUUUUUCAGUUUAAGGAGAUGAUUUGUGUUUGAUUUGAAGUAUGCAAAGUUAAUAGAGAAGAGUCUGUUUGAUUGAAAGAGAAGCAAGUUGUUUAGAGAUCAAAUCCGACAUUACAAGUACCAUACAUUAACUAGGGAGAGAAUACAGUUGCAUAGGAGAAAGAAAACUAAGGAAACAAAGGAGAUACAUAGCUAAAACGACUAAACAGCUUCACUUAUAGAAGUGAAACUUCACACCCGUGACUUCCUUCAGACCCGUGAAUGGGAAAACAGCAAAACAGACCCGUGACUUCCUUUCACACCCGUGACCUUGUACUACCUGCAACAACCAAAAAAAAAAUUCCAAGAGUUAGCAAGAGUUACCAAGAGUUAACAAAGUGUACUAACUACUCAACACAACAUGAAAACCUUAACUAGUCCGUGACUUCCUUUAACUAAACAUCACAGCAUUUCAGACAGUAGUUUCAUUUUUAAAGAUGUUUCCAUCUCAGAUAGUGGACCAGUUUUGGCAAUUAAACGCUCAAGCACUUUGCGUUUAGAUAUCUUCUCUUUCAUUUCCAUAAUGCCUUGAAUCUUCUCCAACUCAUCAUCUCUUCCACUUUUCUUCCGCUUGAUAGAAGCUUUAGCAGCCUUGACACCUAUAGGUCUAGCCUCUCCUGCUGCCACCGCGUCUUCUCCAUCAACCUCUACCGGUUGUUUACGCUUGUCCUUAGAGAGAAAGGCGGAGCACCAUUUCUUCUCAUGCCUCAGCUCCCUCCACGCAUGUUCGAGUGCGAACUUGCUGGAGUAGUUAUUGAAGAAGAUAUCGAGGGCAGCUUUCAUCACGUCAUCAUCAUUUUGCCCGCUUCUCUGCUCCCUCAAGGCCGCUUCAUAGCUCCCAACAAACUUGCAAACCUGAUCGUUAAUCCGAGCCCACCUUUGCUUGCACUGACCAAGCUCUCUCGGUAUUGUCCCGACCAGCUGAGGGCUUGAGUUGUAGUACUCUACAAUCCUCCUCCAGAAAUGAGUCGCCUUCUGCUCAUUACCGACCACAGAGUCUUUACUCGUGUUAAGCCAAGCGCUUAUGAGGAUUAUAUCCUCUUUGACACACCAUUUCCUCCUCUCCUUGCUUGAAGACUGCUCAGAAACAGGGGGUGUAUCCAUGGGUAUGGACUGCUCUGUACUAAACCAAACUGGUUCGGGUGAAUCAAGGCUAAAAGGCGCCUGGUUAUUGAGAAGGUUAACAAAACCAGGGGUGGCAUCCAUGGUUAUUUUAAGCUCUGUGUCACUCUACUAGCAUCACAGAGCUUUAAGUAUGCGAUAUCUACCUAAGAUACAUUUAAAAGCAAUCAAGUCAGCCAGAGUUAGGAAGGUAAAAAGCAGUACGGGUACAUUUAAACCCAUCAACUCAGAGGAGUUAGGAAGGUAAAAGCAUUUAUCAGCUUCGGACUUUAAUUCUAAAUACAUUUAUCAGAGGAGUUAGGAAGGUAAAAGCAUUUAUCAGCUAGUUUACCGCUUAGUUUAUUAUAUUACCAUUAUUAUCCAGAUUCAAUGGAAAAUACUAUACACUUUGAUUACUCAAUGAAAAGAGAGCUGGAAGUUGUUUGUAGAUUACCUUCUAAAGGUCAGACAGUCGCAUUUUCAUCCUCUGAAGCUCUUCCUGAAGCUCUUCCUGAACAGACAUAAGAUAAAAGAGUCAUGUUUUUCAAGAAAAUAUGGAAAAAAAAUUAUAAGCAGAAGGAAUGAAACUAACCAUGCUCUCUGUUAACACGUUCUCCUUCUCUGCAACCCACUUGAACAUGAUCACCAUACAUAGUAGAAAUACUACACUAAGCAACACACAUACAAGCAAUGGAUAGCCAUUUGCAAUCCCUGUUUUCUUCUUAACUAACUGCUCCACAGUCUGCUCGACCUUAACCAGCUUCUCGUCACUCUCAUUAGCUUGAUCCUUUACCUCCCUAAGUUGUCUCUGAUAAUCACGCAACUCCUCCAUGACCGCCACAUCCCACCAUUUCCACACAUGGCAGUCUCCAUCAUCCGCAUUCCCGCAAGUGAAGUACCUUCUCCCUGGAUCUUUGCUUGUGUAAGAAGUUUCAACAACUGCCUCACCACCACAGUAGCAGGUCUUGGGGAUUCCGUCAUCACACUCAGGUUGAGGAAGGUACUCAACGGCCUCAGCUAUGUUGUCCCUACUGUCAGCUUCGUCAGCGUAGAGAUCAGCUUCCGCUUGAAGAAGCGAAGUUAUAUCUAUAUCAUACUCCUCUGAUGAUGAAGGCUGGCUGUAGCUAUAUCGUCCCAUGUUUCCUUAACCUGAAAUCAUAGCAACAGAGGCGUUAAAACAAUUCAUAUAAUCAAACAACUUUUGGACUACAUUUCUAUAAGCUCAAUAGAGUCAGAACACAUAGGAUAAGAGGAUUAGAAAUCUGUAUAAAAGACUAAUCUUUUUGAAACAGUUACUACAAUCGCAAAAAUCCCCCAAUUGAUUGAAAAAUUAGAUUCAAAAUAGAUUCAGAAACAAAUCGUUAUCAAACGCUAACUGAUCUCCAAAAAUUAUAUAAAUCCAUUGAAAUCCCAAAUCCGAACCCUAAUUUGAGAAGAAACCAAAAUGAAACCUAGCGUAAAUCCCUAAAUCAACAAGAGGAUCCUUCGAUUUACCUUCGCUACCGUCGAGAACCCUUCGAGUAUCCUCUUUAGUGACGACAACCCUUCGAUUUCUCUUCUCAGCGGUCGAGAGAAAGAUCGUCUUAAUCGCCGUCUCUGAUUUUUUUUUUUCGUGUUGCGUCCAAAUGAAAUGAAGUCGCGAAACCCUACACGAGUUCGACCCAAUUGCUCCUGCCACGUCAUUUAGGACCAACACAUUUUAAUCCUUAGCUUAGGACUUAUCCUUAGCUUUUCUCCCAUAAAUAUUAGUAUUAUAAUCCUAAUAGUUAAGGAUUAACUACUAAGGAUUGUGUUAAAACCACCGUUGCGGAUGGUCUUA